CGACAAUUGAUAAAUGUUUAAGGUAUUCAAAAGGAGAACUCUUAUAUAUGUGGUUUAGAGAUGUUCUCCAAUAUUGGGAGUUACUAUGCAACACAUUAGUACCUUGACUAAAUGUCAAAAUUGCCUAGGGAGUUUGAUGUUGAUCAAGCAUACAAAGGUCUUGAAUUUGUCCGCAAGUUGACAUAGUUCCACGUUCUCCCAUGUGUUUUAGAGUUAUUUUGGUACCUCAUUUAUGAGAAGUGAUGCAUUGUGAGUUAUUAGGAUAUCAUAUUAGAAAACAUAAAUGAUACAUUUAAGGUGACAUUGCAUUCACAUAUACAUAUAAUGAAUUUGGUGUUGUGUGAAUACGAGAAUAUAGGUUACCG
RNAcentral lists this long non-coding RNA (365 nucleotides) under Cicer arietinum (chickpea). RNAcentral's name for it is "long non-coding RNA (CARI_LNC002858)". The record is from RNAcentral. Lineage: Eukaryota; Viridiplantae; Streptophyta; Magnoliopsida; Fabales; Fabaceae.